GCCGCUGUAGCUCAACAGGUAGAGCAACGCACUUGUAAUGCGUAGGUUGCGGGUUCAAGUCCUGCCAGCGGCU
This 73-nucleotide transfer RNA is filed under the name Actinomycetes bacterium. RNAcentral's name for it is "tRNA-Thr". It matches the Rfam family "tRNA". From Rfam's summary of the family: Transfer RNA (tRNA) molecules are approximately 80 nucleotides in length. The record is from RNAcentral. Lineage: Bacteria; Bacillati; Actinomycetota; Actinomycetes.